RNAcentral lists this ribosomal RNA (253 nucleotides) under uncultured bacterium. Its description in RNAcentral is "partial 16S ribosomal RNA". It matches the Rfam family "Bacterial small subunit ribosomal RNA", at positions 524 to 776 of the family's 1533-position model. The record is from RNAcentral.
UACGGGGGGGGCAAGCGUUGUUCGGAAUUACUGGGCGUAAAGGGCGUGUAGGCGGCCAACUAAGUCCGACGUGAAAUCCCCAGGCUUAACCUGGGAACUGCGUCGGAUACUGGAUGGCUUGAAUCCGGGAGAGGGAUGCAGAAUUCCAGGUGUAGCGGUGAAAUGCGUAGAUAUCUGGAGGAAUACCGGUGGCGAAGGCGGCAUCCUGGACCGGCAUUGACGCUGAGGAGCGAAAGCUAGGGGAGCAAACGGG